AGGUUAUUCGUAUAGUGGUAGUACAGCAGUCUCCAAAACUGUUAGCGUUGGUUCGAUUCCAGCAUAAUCUG
This 71-nucleotide transfer RNA is filed under the name Caudoviricetes sp. RNAcentral's name for it is "tRNA-Trp". It matches the Rfam family "tRNA". From Rfam's summary of the family: Transfer RNA (tRNA) molecules are approximately 80 nucleotides in length. The record is from RNAcentral. Lineage: Duplodnaviria; Heunggongvirae; Uroviricota; Caudoviricetes.